GAUGAAGAACGCAGCGAAAUGCGAUAAGUAAUGUGAAUUGCAGAAUUCAGUGAAUCAUCGAAUCUUUGAACGCACAUUGCGCCCGCCAGUAUUCUGGCGGGCAUGCCUGUUCGAGCGUCAUUUCAACCCUCAGGACCCUUUGGACCUGGUGUUGGGGCUCGGCCGCUACCCCGCGGCCGUCCCCGAAAGAUAGUGGCGGUCUCGCUGUAGCGUCCUCUGCGUAGUAAUUACACCUCGCACUGGAACGCGGCGCGGCCACGCCGUUAAACGCCCCACUUCUCAAGGUUGACCUCGGAUCAGGUAGGAAUACCCGCUGAACUUAAGCAUAUCAAUAAGCGGAGGA
RNAcentral lists this unclassified non-coding RNA (343 nucleotides) under soil metagenome. Its description in RNAcentral is "partial contains 5.8S ribosomal RNA, internal transcribed spacer 2, and large subunit ribosomal RNA". The stretch from base 1 to 120 matches the Rfam family "5.8S ribosomal RNA", at positions 35 to 154 of the family's 154-position model. The record is from RNAcentral.